AGUGAACGCUGGCGGUAGGCCUAACACAUGCAAGUCGAACGGCAGCACAGGAGAGCUUGCUCUCUGGGUGGCGAGUGGCGGACGGGUGAGGAAUACAUCGGAAUCUACUCUGUCGUGGGGGAUAACGUAGGGAAACUUACGCUAAUACCGCAUACGACCUACGGGUGAAAGCAGGGGAUCUUCGGACCUUGCGCGAUUGAAUGAGCCGAUGUCGGAUUAGCUAGUUGGCGGGGUAAAGGCCCACCAAGGCGACGAUCCGUAGCUGGUCUGAGAGGAUGAUCAGCCACACUGGAACUGAGACACGGGCCAGACUCCGACGGGAGGCAGCAGUGGGGAAUAUUGGACAAGGGGCGCAAGCCUGAUCCAGCCAUACCGCGUGGGUGAAGAAGGCCUUCGGGUUGUAAAGCCCUUUUGUUGGGAAAGAAAUCCAGCUGGCUAAUACCCGGUUGGGAUGACGGUACCCAAAGAAUAAGCACCGGCUAACUUCGUGCCAGCCGCCGCGGUAA
This 506-nucleotide ribosomal RNA is filed under the name uncultured bacterium. RNAcentral's name for it is "partial 16S ribosomal RNA". It matches the Rfam family "Bacterial small subunit ribosomal RNA", at positions 29 to 523 of the family's 1533-position model. The record is from RNAcentral.